UAAUACAUGUGGGGCAAGCGUUGUUCGGAAUUACUGGGCAUAAAGGGUGCGUAGGUGGUCUGCUAAGUCAGUGGUGAAAUCCCGCGGCCCAACCGUGGAACUGCCAUCGAUACUGGCGGACUUGAGUGCGUGAGGGGUUACCGGAACGAGCAGUGUAGCGGUGAAAUGCGUAGAUAUUGCUCGGAAGGCCAGAGGCGAAGGCGGGUAACUGGCACGCAACUGACACUGAGGCACGAAAGCGUGGGGAGCAAACAGGAUUAGAUACCCUGGUAGUCCACGCCGUAAACUAUGGGCACUAGAUGGAUGUCGAGCUAUCGAUGUCUGUCGGAGGCAAUUUGGUAAGUGCCCCGCCUGGGGAGUAUGGUCGCAAGGCUG
RNAcentral lists this ribosomal RNA (375 nucleotides) under uncultured bacterium. RNAcentral describes it as "bacterial SSU rRNA". It matches the Rfam family "Bacterial small subunit ribosomal RNA", at positions 521 to 896 of the family's 1533-position model. The record is from RNAcentral.